Solea senegalensis (Senegalese sole) is the source of this 2678-nucleotide RNA transcript. It is a transcript of the gene named feline leukemia virus subgroup C receptor-related protein 2-like, with no coding region annotated. NCBI's taxonomy places the organism in Eukaryota, Metazoa, Chordata, Actinopteri, Pleuronectiformes, Soleidae. The transcript has 11 exons. The record is from RefSeq and is a predicted model, not a curated record.
GACAUGAGUCUGACCGACUUAUUUCAAAACACCACAGGGGUUUUUCAGGUCCGGGUGGAGGGUCACUUACAGCAGACACUCUACACGUGUCAACUCGGUAAAUUCAAGUUCCUCUUCCCUGAAGAGUAACACAUUCAUUCUCUAUUUUACGUGUAACUAUUUUACGUUCAAACUGUCCCGGCUGUUCGACUCGAAACUAUCUUCAUCCCGGGAGAGGAACUGUGCUCACUUUAACAUAUACUUUGACUGUUUGUAUAUGUAUAUUUAUGUCGUGUUUAAACAGCACGUCUGCGUUUUUAUUAGCUGAAAAACAUGAAGUUGUAAGUUGUUUGUUGUCUUUCAGGAAGCGUUGCCUGGUCACUACAUACGUGUCGAGGCGAUUUUCUUUUCAGCCACACGUAGUUUUUAAGGUGCAGUAGUUACGACGUAAACUUUACUCCAUGAGGACACUGAAGAGGACAGUUUAAUAUGACGGAGGAAGAGGUAGUAGUAGACACUAAAGUGAACGGGUGCGAGACGAAAGCGGACGCGGCGAACCAUGCACCUCCGGAGGCGGGAGACGCGGUGCAGCACGAGGACUUAAUCGUUGAGAAAAGCGGUCAUGAGGCGCCGCAGAUCACGCGCCUGUACAAGCGGCGCUGGAUGAUCGUCCUCCUGUUCAGCUGCUACUCACUGAGCAACUCCUUCCAAUGGAUACAGUACGGCAUCAUCAGCAACAUCUUCAUGAAGUUCUACAACGUAGACGCCUUCACCAUAGACUGGAUGUCUAUGAUCUACAUGCUCACGUACAUCCCCUUCAUAUUCCCGGUCACCUGGCUGCUGGACAAGAAAGGACUGCGGAUCGUCGCGCUCGUCGCCACCGCGCUCAACUGCGCCGGAACGUGGAUCAAAGUGGCCAGCGUCAAACCACACCUGUUCGCCGUCACCUUCCUGGGACAGUUCUGCUGCUCCCUGGCGCAGGUGUUCAUCCUCGGGAUGCCGUCGACAAUCGCGUCGGUGUGGUUCGGUUCACAGGAAGUGUCCACCGCCUGCUCCAUCGGAGUCUUCGGGAACCAGCUGGGUAUCGCCAUCGGGUUCCUCGUGCCUCCGAUUCUCGUGCCUAAUGUGGACGACGUUGACGAGCUGGCUCACCACAUCAGCAUUAUGUUCUACAUCACAGCAGGAGUAGCAACGCUGCUCUUCAUCCUUGUUGUCUUUGUCUUCCAGGAGCGACCUGAACUUCCUCCAACUCAGGCCCAAGCCAUAGCUCGUAGCAUCCCAUCAGAGCAGUACUCGUACAUGGCCUCCAUCCGGAGGCUGCUGUGCAACAGGCCCUUCAUCCUCCUCAUCAUCACUUACGGUCUGAACGUCGGGUGUUUCUAUGCUGUUGGCACGCUGCUGAACCGCAUGAUCAUUGCACAUUACCCUGGGGAAGAGGUGAAUGCUGGGAGGAUUGGCCUGACCAUUAUCAUCGCAGGGAUGACUGGCUCUCUGAUCUGCGGCAUUUGGUUGGACAGAACUAAAACCUACAAGCAGACGACACUUUUAGUCUACUUCAUGUCUCUAGUGGGGAUGAUCAUCUUUGCUGCUACACUCAGUUUGGGACACCUUUGGGUCGUCUUCAUCACCGCUGGUGCUCUGGGGUUCUUCAUGACUGGCUACCUCCCACUGGGCUUUGAGUUUGCAGUCGAGCUCACGUUCCCUGAGUCAGAGGGAACCUCGUCCGGACUCCUCAACUGUUCAGCACAGGUGUUCGGGAUUAUAUUCACCAUCUGCCAGGGCAAGAUCAUCGACAGCUUUGGCACACUGGCAGGAAACAUCUUCCUUUGUGUCUUCCUUCUAAUCGGCACAAUCAUGACAGGGUUAAUCAAGUCUGAGCUACGGAGACAGAAUGCAAAUCACCUGGCCAAAGCAGCGGCAGAGGGGCAGAUGUCGGGACAAGACUACGGAGCCACAUCAUUACUCUCCAAGCCACGGACUCCUGCUUCUCAGAUCUGAUCAAUAAAUCCUACUUUCUGCUUUCUACAACAACAACUAAACAAAUCUCUACAAAUCUUAGCUGAACACACAGGCACUGAAAGGGACCCUCUGACUGCCAUGUUGGGAGCCUGGGAGCGACGUACAUCAUCAGUGAAGCUCAGCUGUAACACACACACACACACACACACACACACACACAAUCUUCCUAGCACACAUUCAGGAAGUCACCUCCCUUCUACGAAGAGUUGAAUGUUGUGAUUGUUUAUUUUAAACCGUUCAGACGCUCGACUAAUCUUACAUGCUUAACACACAAUGUGAAGAACACAAAUGCUGUGUUCGGAAAUAUUUUUAUACUGAAUUAUAAAUGAUCUUUUCACUAAUUCAGAAACAGGACACACAUUUUGUGAAAUGUUUUAUUUUUUUAUCUCAAUCUUCUAACGUCUCAGUGUUUUCAGUGUGCAGAUGAUUACAGUCCAAAUAUUUGCCCUAAUUAAUUGGAAUGAAAUCCACGAUCCACAUUUGUAUGAAUGAUUUUUUUUUUUUUAAUGUAAGAAAUCUCUCUCUUUUUAAAGAUGAAAAUAAUUUCUACAAUGGUGUAUUGUAGGCUUUCUGGUUGACGGCAGCCUGGCAAGGACAAAAUGUUGAUGGCACAUGGGUUUGUUAUGUUUGUACCAUUCAUGUUCACUUAUUUAACAUGAUAUAAAGCCAUUUUAUGAAGA